This 253-nucleotide ribosomal RNA is filed under the name uncultured bacterium. RNAcentral describes it as "partial 16S ribosomal RNA". It matches the Rfam family "Bacterial small subunit ribosomal RNA", at positions 524 to 776 of the family's 1533-position model. The record is from RNAcentral.
UACAGAGGAGCCAAGCGUUGUUCGGAAUCAUUGGGCUUAAAGCGCACGUAGGCGGUCAUGUAAGUGUCUUGUGAAAUCUCACGGCUCAACCGUGAAACUGCUCGACAAACUGCAUGACUUGAGGUCGGUAGAGGCGCCUGGAACCCUAGGUGGAGCGGUGAAAUGCGUAGAUAUCUAGGGGAACGCCGGAAGCGAAAGCGGGGCGCUGGGCCGAUUCUGACGCUGAGGUGCGAAAGCGUGGGGAGCAAACAGG